AGUCAUUAAACUCUUUGGGAUUAACCACAACCCUUGAUGCCAAGCCAAAACCAACUAGUACUCUCAAACCAGGCUAUCAAAAGCUAGUCGAGUCAAUGGUUUUGGACCACUGUUGGAGCAGCUACAUGGGGAACCACUCAGCAAGAAUCGUGCUAGGAGGUAGUACUAUUGUAGAGGGUAAAGGUGGUGUGUGUUUAUUUUAUGAGAGGUUGAAGACAAUCCACAAUGCCUUUUAAAUCGGCAAUGUUUUUUCUCUUUUUUUUAAAAAAAAUUAAUUAAUUGCUAAAAUGACAUUAUUUUAGUGCCCGUUUGGCACUGCGGUACAACCAGCUUUUUGCAAAAUUUCAAAAAAACAAUUUU
RNAcentral lists this long non-coding RNA (360 nucleotides) under Populus tremula. RNAcentral's name for it is "long non-coding RNA (PTRE_LNC001882)". The record is from RNAcentral. Lineage: Eukaryota; Viridiplantae; Streptophyta; Magnoliopsida; Malpighiales; Salicaceae.